GGGCGUGGAGGGGGGCCUUUGCUGCAUGGGGUGUCCUCGGGCUCCACCUGGUGCGGAAAAGGGGGUCGUUAGUGAAGGUGUUAAUGCUGGCUCUCUCAGGUAAAAAAAUAUGUGCCAAAAACUAUAGGUACCAGAAAGUAUAGGUGCCAGAAAAUAUAGGUACCAAAAACUGUAGGUACUAAAAAUUGUAGGAACCAAAAACUAUAGGUACCAAAAACUGCAGGUGCCAAAAACUAUAGGUACCAGAAAGUAUAGGUACCAGAAAGUAUAGGUACCAAAAACUAUAGGUACGAAAACUAUAGGUACCAAAAACUAUAUGGACUUGGAAAAUUAAAUUACUAUUAUUAUUAUUAUUAUUAUUAUUAUUAUUAUUAUUAUUAUUAUUAUUAUUUACAUUAUAUUCAUUACUUUACAUAUACUUUUCCUUAUCAACAGCUAACUUACAAUAUACUUACACACACUAACACGUACACACUUACAAACAUGCACUUACACAACUAACUACGAAAAAGUGAGUUAGUAAAGCAAUUAAAACACACACACACACACACACACACACACACACACACACACACACACACACACACACACACACA
Long non-coding RNA from Eriocheir sinensis (Chinese mitten crab), 596 nucleotides. RefSeq lists it as uncharacterized. The record is from RefSeq and is a predicted model, not a curated record. The transcript is spliced from 3 exons. NCBI's taxonomy places the organism in Eukaryota, Metazoa, Arthropoda, Malacostraca, Decapoda, Varunidae.